UACGUAGGGGGCGAGCGUUGUCCGGAAUUAUUGGGCGUAAAGAGCGUGUAGGCGGCCCGGUAAGUCCGCCGUGAAAGCUUAGGGCUCAACCCUAAGUUUGCGGUGGAUACUGUCGGGCUAGAGGGUGGUAGAGGCGAGUGGAAUUCCCGGUGUAGCGGUGAAAUGCGCAGAUAUCGGGAGGAACACCAGUAGCGAAGGCGGCUCGCUGGGCCAUUCCUGACGCUGAGACGCGAAAGCUAGGGGAGCGAACAGG
Molecule: ribosomal RNA, 253 nt
Filed under: uncultured bacterium
Lineage: Bacteria
Description: partial 16S ribosomal RNA
Rfam family: Bacterial small subunit ribosomal RNA
Source: RNAcentral